AACUUGCGGAAGGAUCAUU
This 19-nucleotide ribosomal RNA is filed under the name Diplotomma rivas-martinezii. RNAcentral's name for it is "partial small subunit ribosomal RNA". Lineage: Eukaryota; Fungi; Ascomycota; Lecanoromycetes; Caliciales; Caliciaceae. The record is from RNAcentral.